Dioscorea cayenensis subsp. rotundata (Guinea yam) is the source of this 656-nucleotide long non-coding RNA. RefSeq lists it as uncharacterized. The record is from RefSeq and is a predicted model, not a curated record. The transcript has 2 exons. Lineage: Eukaryota; Viridiplantae; Streptophyta; Magnoliopsida; Dioscoreales; Dioscoreaceae.
CUAAAAGAUACUGCACAUGAUGUGUGGUUGCUCUGUUGAUGUUGUGAACCCACAAACACACUUGCGUGUUCAGCAAUAUCUUGAGAGCUGAACUUCCAAGUAAGUCUUUGUAAACUUCUUCUCAUGAUAAAGAAAAAAGUUAUAAGAAGGAUUAUAUCUUCUUCCAUCUUUGUAUUCAACAUUGUUGAUCAUAGCAUCAAACGCUAAAAACAUGAUAGAUGAUAUACUAUUCUCAGUCUUAGUUCAUCUGAUUAAAAGCCAUAAAAAAAAAAAGGUACAAAGAAAUGUGAGGUUGAGAUCGCUGGUGAAAAGGGAAAGGUUGUUGAGAUAAGCGGGCAAUGGAGGGGCAGAGAAUCUGAAUCAAUGGAUUGGAAAGCAGGCCGCUGGUGGGAGCAUGGAUAUGUUAGACGUAUCGAGCUGCCAGAGGAUGCGAAUUGGAAGAAGAUAGAGGCAUACAUUGAUGAUGAGAACCUUCUUCAGAUAAAAAUACCAAAGAAUAAUUCAGACUCUAAUGCUCUUCAAACCAGUGCUGUGGAGCCUAAGGAAUCUGAAUUUGUAUGAAUCAUGGCAAGCAUUGGAAAUUUCACUAUAAAAUUACUUGAACACAAGGAUACUACUUCAUAACAUAUGUACUAAAUAAUACUAAACCUUUACUA